Molecule: transfer RNA, 76 nt
Filed under: Candidatus Stahliibacteriota bacterium
Lineage: Bacteria; Candidatus Stahliibacteriota
Also listed under: 1 other name
Description: bacterium (Candidatus Stahlbacteria) tRNA-Asn
Rfam family: tRNA
About the family: Transfer RNA (tRNA) molecules are approximately 80 nucleotides in length.
Source: RNAcentral
UGGGAUAUAGCUCAGUUGGCAGAGCAGGUGGCUGUUAACCACCGUGUCGCAGGUUCGAACCCUGCUAUCCCAGCCA